CCUACGGGUGGCAGCAGUGAGGAAUAUUGGUCAAUGGGCGUAAGCCUGAACCAGCCAAGUCGCGUGAGGGAUGAAGGUUCUAUGGAUCGUAAACCUCUUUUGUAAGGGAAUAAAAUGCGGGACGUGUCCCGUUCUGUAUGUACCUUAUGAAUAAGCAUCGGCUAACUCCGUGCCAGCAGCCGCGGUAAUACGGAGGAUCCGAGCGUUAUCCGGAUUUAUUGGGUUUAAAGGGUGCGUAGGCGGCCUUUUAAGUCAGCGGUGAAAGGCUGUGGCUCAACCCAAGAAGUGCCGUUGAAACUGGGAGUCUUGAGAAGGUGUGAGGUAGGCGGAAUGCGUGGUGUAGCGGUGAAAUGCUUAGAUAUCGCGCAGAACCCCGAUUGCGAAGGCAGCAUGCCAGGCCAUGACUGACGCUGAUGCACGAAAGCGUGGGGAUCAAACAGGAUUAGAUACCCGGGUAGUC
RNAcentral lists this ribosomal RNA (460 nucleotides) under uncultured bacterium. RNAcentral describes it as "partial 16S ribosomal RNA". It matches the Rfam family "Bacterial small subunit ribosomal RNA", at positions 338 to 795 of the family's 1533-position model. The record is from RNAcentral.